UAAAAGUACGUCGGCGCAGUUGUUUGACUAACAGUUGGUUUCCGUUCUCAAACUUGCAAUCAUCAAAUCAUCAAAACAUGUGGCCCAGGAGUUCCUUCACGUUCCUUUUUGGAGUUGUGCUGUUAAUCACUGUAGCUAUGACUCAAGCCCAGCCUGAAGAUGGAUGGGGUGGUGGGCCUGGCCCGAGGCCAUGGUAGGAGACCAAGCUUGUAAGUGUAUUUCACGCAAUCUCAACUGCCAAUCAAGGCCGCGUGCUAACUGGUUUAUAACCAGGGAAAACUAUUGCGAGAAGAUAAAAAUUGUAGAACCUGCCGCCGAAUGCAAAGAUUAAUGAGACACAAUGAUUGACGGAAUGUUAACUGAUUUAAAAUAUGCAAAUUUUUAAUUUUCCAAGAACUAAUUUUCGACCUCAAAAAGUUCAAUUCACUUUUAUAAAAAAUUAUAUUUCUUCCAAUAAAAUUAUGUGACUUCAUAUGAAA
Long non-coding RNA from Rhagoletis zephyria (snowberry fruit fly), 479 nucleotides. RefSeq lists it as uncharacterized. The record is from RefSeq and is a predicted model, not a curated record. NCBI's taxonomy places the organism in Eukaryota, Metazoa, Arthropoda, Insecta, Diptera, Tephritidae.